AACUGCAAAGAAAGUGUGCACUACGUGGAAGCGAAUAUGUAAGGAACCUUCAAUGUGGCGAGUCAUUAACAUGUCAAAGGAUUGGGGAUUAUUUUACAUAGAUAGCGACUGGAGACUGCAGAAGUUAUGCCGACAUGCUGUUGAUCGUAGCCAAGGUGAACUCGUUGAAAUCAAUUUAGAGCACUUUGUUGAUGAUGACUUACUUGAGGACAUAGCAUAUAGUUCAGGAAAGCUGAAGAAGCUUAGUAUUGCAUGUUGCUAUUUUAUGGUAUGUGAUGGUUUAAAGCAGUUCGAAAGCUUCCAUUGUUAGAGGAGCUGAGUUUGACGCACACUGCCAUCACAACAAAAGGCAUUAAAGCUCUUGGACGCUCUUGCCCACGAUUGAAGUCGUUUGUAUUGAAUAACUCAUUGUAUAUGGGAUCAGGUGAUGACUUUGAUAGAGAAGAUGAAAGAAAUGAAGAGGCUCUAGCUAUUGCUAAAAACCUGCCUACCUUGCACCACCUCCAACUCAUUGGGAAUAGUAUGACAAAUAAAGGCCUCCAAGCUAUUCUUGAUGGUUGUCCUCAUCUUGUAUCUCUUGACUUGCGGCUGUGCGAAUAUAUAGCCUCAACGAAGUCUUGAGUAAUAGAAUUUCGGGGCAGAUUAAAGAUGUGAAGUACCCUCAAGACUCUCUGGCGGGUUUGAAAUUUUCAUUUGAGGCUUGUUGGGAUGAGGAUUCGUCUGAUUACAUGUCUGAUGAUUACUGACUACUAGUGGUUGUUUGUAGCAUUAGCCUCAUUUAUGAAGUUGCGGGCAUUUUUUGGACAUUGGAAUAUGAACGGUUCUGCAGGUGUCCGAGGGAGAUGAUAUGGGGAGUUUUUUGUAUUAUGCGUCCCCUCUCCUCUUGUAUCAAUUUUUGUUAAAGAUCUCCUUGGGACUAAGUUCCUAAAGAAAUCAGUAUGUAAUGACUAUGUAGUAUCAUAUCAUAUAAUAUUAAAAGUGGGAAGCUCAUAUCUUUAAAGUU
Molecule: long non-coding RNA, 1003 nt
Organism: Lycium ferocissimum
Lineage: Eukaryota; Viridiplantae; Streptophyta; Magnoliopsida; Solanales; Solanaceae
Exons: 2
Source: RefSeq, a predicted model, not a curated record